RNAcentral lists this ribosomal RNA (773 nucleotides) under uncultured bacterium. RNAcentral describes it as "bacterial SSU rRNA". It matches the Rfam family "Bacterial small subunit ribosomal RNA", at positions 8 to 796 of the family's 1533-position model. The record is from RNAcentral.
AGAGUUUGAUCCUGGCUCAGGAUGAACGCUGGCGGCGUGCUUAACACAUGCAAGUCGAACGGAGUGGAUAUUCUUCGGAAGAUUCACUUAGUGGCGGACGGGUGAGUAACGCGUGGGUAACCUGCCUCAUACAGGGGGAUAGCAGCUAGAAAUGGCUGCUAAUACCGCAUAAGCGCACAGCAUCGCAUGAUGCCGUGUGAAAAACUCCGGUGGUAUGAGAUGGACCCGCGUCUGAUUAGGUAGUUGGCGGGGUAACGGCCCACCAAGCCGACGAUCAGUAGCCGACCUGAGAGGGUGACCGGCCACAUUGGGACUGAGACACGGCCCAAACUCCUACGGGAGGCAGCAGUGGGGAAUAUUGCACAAUGGGCGAAAGCCUGAUGCAGCGACGCCGCGUGAGCGAAGAAGUAUCUCGGUAUGUAAAGCUCUAUCAGCAGGGAAGAAAAUGACGGUACCUGACUAAGAAGCCCCGGCUAACUACGUGCCAGCAGCCGCGGUAAUACGUAGGGGGCAAGCGUUAUCCGGAUUUACUGGGUGUAAAGGGAGCGUAGACGGAGAGGCAAGUCUGAUGUGAAAACCCGGGGCUCAACCCCGGGAGUGCAUUGGAAACUGUUUAUCUGGAGUGCCGGAGGGGUAAGUGGAAUUCCUAGUGUAGCGGUGAAAUGCGUAGAUAUUAGGAGGAACACCAGUGGCGAAGGCGGCUUACUGGACGGUAACUGACGUUGAGGCUCGAAAGCGUGGGGAGCAAACAGGGUUAGAUACCCUGGUAGUCC